RNAcentral lists this ribosomal RNA (309 nucleotides) under Triticum aestivum (bread wheat). Its description in RNAcentral is "partial small subunit ribosomal RNA". Lineage: Eukaryota; Viridiplantae; Streptophyta; Magnoliopsida; Poales; Poaceae. The record is from RNAcentral.
AUGGAUGGCCGACUUUGCCAGGUUUCUUGUCGCGAGCGCCCGGUUCCCCUGCCAUGUCCUCCUCCACCUCGCCGGACUCUCCUUCCUCCCGAGCGCCUACCUCUCCUGCAAGGCCGCCCCUCGACUUACCGCCACCGACCAGCGCAACAAACGCAAGAGAUUCCCAGGGUCUCGGUCCCCUGCUCGUGCCUGAGCCACUCAGUCCUCCUCGAUCUCCUCGGCUCCCUCCACCGGAGCCGGCCUACUCCGGCUACCUCCUCUGCCUCGCACCUGCACGUCAUCCUUGGGAUCCGCAAGCAGCAGCUCUGA